RNAcentral lists this transfer RNA (82 nucleotides) under Blumeria graminis f. sp. tritici. It matches the Rfam family "tRNA". From Rfam's summary of the family: Transfer RNA (tRNA) molecules are approximately 80 nucleotides in length. Their secondary structure includes four short double-helical elements and three loops (D, anti-codon, and T loops). Lineage: Eukaryota; Fungi; Ascomycota; Leotiomycetes; Helotiales; Erysiphaceae. RNAcentral also lists the same sequence under 1 other name. The record is from Rfam by way of RNAcentral.
UCCGCAUUAGUGUAGGGGUUAACAUACUCCGCUUUCAAUGUGUGGAGCCGGAGAGCCCCGGGUUCGAUUCCCGGAUGCGGAA